CUUACCAGGUCCAGACACGGGGAGGAUUGACAGAUUGAGAGCUCUUUCUUGAUUCUGUGGGUGGUGGUGCAUGGCCGUUCUUAGUUGGUGGGUUGCCUUGUCAGGUUGAUUCCGGUAACGAACGAGACCUCAGCCUGCUAAAUAGUCACGGCUACUUUUUGUAGCCGCCAGACUUCUUAGAGGGACUAUUGUCGUUUAGGCAAUGGAAGUGUGAGGCAAUAACAGGUCUGUGAUGCCCUUAGAUGUUCUGGGCCGCACGCGCGCUACACUGUUGCAUUCAACGAGCCUAUCCUUGGCCGAGAGGUCCGGGUAAUCUUUGAAACUGCAACGUGAUGGGGAUAGAUUAUUGCAAUUAUUAGUCUUCAACGAGGAAUGCCUAGUAAGCGCGAGUCAUCAGCUCGCGUUGAUUACGUCCCUGCCCUUUGUACACACCGCCCGUCGCUCCUACCGAUUGGGUGUGCUGGUGAAGUGUUCGGAUUGGUUUCAGUUGAUGGUAACAUUGGCUGUUGCUGAGAAGAUCAUUAAACCCUCCCACCUAGAGGAAGGAGAAGUCGUAACAAGGU
Molecule: ribosomal RNA, 563 nt
Filed under: uncultured Chlorophyta
Lineage: Eukaryota; Viridiplantae; Chlorophyta
Description: SSU rRNA
Rfam family: Eukaryotic small subunit ribosomal RNA
Source: RNAcentral